UCUUGCCACCUGGCAGCUCAAGGGCCUGCCAUUGCUUCCAAGUUGUUAUGCAACCAAUUGAGAACUCUAAGAACUCAUAUGCAAAGCCAACUUUAACUGGAAUGGGCACAUAAUAUGUCAGUACGAUAGGUUAUAAACCUCAAGUCGUGUGCUAGUGAAGAAUUUCAGGUUUUAUUCUUGAUUAGUUCUUGAGACUUUCAAGACCGUUAAGACUCCUACUGUCCUCUUGACAUAUCAGACUUCCUUGUCAAACAUCCAAGAGAUAGUGCGGAUUCUAAUCAAGAAAAACACUUUACCCAAUUGGCCUAAGUUGGUCUUUGUUUUAUCCAAAACAUCACAACUUACCAAUUUCAAAUGUACAAGAGUAGAAAACUUUUACUCUUACAUUUGACAAGUGUUUUAAACCUUCUUUAAGACAUGUCACUCAAAUUACAAUCUUAGAGUAUGACUUUAAGACUUGUAUUGGAACGAAGUAUGACUCAUCUUCUUGAUUUAGCCACUUCACCAAUUCAUAGUUCCUCUUCUUGGCUAUAAGAAAGCACUUAGAGGAUGAAUUGUGAUAAGGUCUCUAAAUCAUUAAGAUGAUCAUAAAAACUGAUACGAACGUACUCUCCCAUAUUUUCAUAAGGUCUCUAAAUCAUUGCUUCCAAGUUGUUAUGCAACCAAUUGAGAACUCUAAGAACUCAUAUGCAAAGCCAACUUUAACUGGAAUGGGCACAGAAUAUGUCAGUACGAUAGGUUAUAAACCUCAAGCCGUGUGCUAGUGAAGAAUUUCAGGUUUUAUUCUUGAUUAGUUCUUGAGACUUUCAAGACUGUUAAGACUCCUACUGUCCUCUUGACAUAUCAGACUUCCUUGUUAAAUGUUCAAGGGAUGGUGUGGAUUCUAAUCAAGACAAACACUUCACAAAAUUGGCCUAGGUUGGUCUUUGUUUUAUCCAAAACAUCACAACUUACCAAUUUCAAAUGUACAAGAGUAGAAAACUUUUACUCUUACAUUUGACAAGUGUUUUAAACCUUCUUUAAGACAUGUCACUCAAAUUACAAUCUUGGAGUAUGACUCUAAGACUUGUAUUGGAACGAAGUAUGACUCAUCUUCUUGAUUUAACCACUUCAACAAUUCAAGAUCCCUCUUCUUAGUCAUAAGAAUGCACUAAGAUUUCCUUAGAGAACUAAUUGUGCUAUGGUUUCUUAAUCAUUAAGAUGAUCACAAAACUGAUACUAAAGUACUCUCCCAUCUUUUCAGAUUUGAGAAACUUUUAUCCUUCUGCCUAAUUUGAUUCUUCUUAUUCGCUCUGCCUUACAUUGGAACCUUUUCCAAUGUCUCAGAGUUACACUUAAGCUUGUAAGUAUAAUCAUAUUUACUGAGCUUUAGUAAACUAUGACGAAUAGUCUUAUCAAUCUUUUGUGGUGGACUUAAUCAGUGCACAAGAAUGUGUACUCGAUCCCUUAGUCCUUUACUUGACUCACACAUCCAUGUGGCCGAGUAAUUAGUCUUAAUUUUCCAAAACUUGAAAGUUCUCAUUCAUCAUGCUAUACAACUUGCAUGAUUCCAAGUUCCGGUCCAAUUGAAACUUGGGUGAUGAGAAUCUUUCCUUAUUUGGUAAAUCUAGACAUUACCACAAAUGAAAGAAUCAAUUUCAUAUUUCCACUCUUGCUCUUAAUGGAAUCAUAUAAGCAACAAUUUUUCCUCAAAAGCCAUUGUAAGGAUAUUUUAAAAUAAAUAAAAUCAAAAAUUUUCUUUUAUUUUAAAACUUUGCGGAAAAACUUAUCCUUACAAUCCAUAUGAAAACUUGUUGUUAUCUAUUCCUAAGCAAUAUCUCAUAACUCCUAAGAAGUAGCUCAAGAAUCCGAUCUUCAAACUAUGCGAUAGAAAUCCAUCUACGCCAUCAGAUUCAGCAUAUUCUUUCUUUAAGUUUCUUCACUUUUCUUUGAUUCUUAAA
Molecule: long non-coding RNA, 1940 nt
Filed under: Lactuca sativa (garden lettuce)
Lineage: Eukaryota; Viridiplantae; Streptophyta; Magnoliopsida; Asterales; Asteraceae
Description: long non-coding RNA (LSAT_LNC009800)
Source: RNAcentral